Molecule: long non-coding RNA, 1398 nt
Organism: Hyla sarda
Lineage: Eukaryota; Metazoa; Chordata; Amphibia; Anura; Hylidae
Exons: 6
Source: RefSeq, a predicted model, not a curated record
CACAUCCCAUCACCCACUGUCAAGGACCCACACAGCCAUAGACAACUACUUUAAUACCGACAAACAUUGGGGCUUAUAUUGCCCAGUACAGUACACAUAUGGGUGGGUCACUUUCUAGGACCCUCACAGCUAUAGACAACAACUUUAAUAUCAACAAACAUUGGGGCUUAUAGUGCCCAGUACAGUACACAUAUGGGUGGGUCACUUUCUAGGACCCUCACAGCUAUAGACAACAACUUUAAUAUCAACAAACAUUGGGGCUUAUAGUGCCCAGUACGGUACACAUCUGUAUGCCGCACUUCACAUUCAUCCACAAGCUGUGCGCAAGCACACAGUGCGCCGUCACCACCCCCAUGGUUGUCUGUAACUGCAGACUAGCACAGACCAUCUCCGCACCAGUGCGGCACACGUGUGUGCCGGGCACACGCAUUUGUGCGCUGACACAUCCCCACGUUUGUCUGUUACCACAGACAAACACAGCCCCUCUCCUCGCCGGCCGCAACUCACUGACAGCUGACCAGCCGGAAGUGACGUGGCGGCACUGAGAGCGCAUUAAUACGCGCGAUCAGUGCAAGCACGCUGUCAGGACCUCGCCAGUGUCGCUGCACACAGGAUCUCCAGCAGUUACUCUGCCCACUAAUAUAGAAGUUGGACCUCUGGUGGAGACCUUGUCAUCCUACAUCAAAGACACCACUGAUGCCCUACGAAGAUUAGAAGACAUCCAAUUAGAUGAUGACAUGUGGAUCGUGACAAGCGACGUGGAGUCCUAGUAUACAUCUAUCCAUCACCAAGAUGGACUUCAGGCUGUGGGUGAUUUCCUGAGGAUGUCCGAAAUUUAAAAGGAUAUAGGGAUCGCUGGAGGAGUUGCAGACAUUCAUGAUGAAUUUGAACACUAAUGAGCAGAAUAUUAGAAUCACCUACAAAGCAGGAAGGCACCACAUGGAUUUUUUUGGACAACUCUUUGAGAUGAACCAACAGAGAUGAAGCAUUUGAGAGCGGUGCUAUUGAACUUUGGAAAAGAUUUUCUGAAAGAGGAUAUAAAGACAGUUGGAUCCGCCAUUCAUACCUGAGGGCCAAGCAUACCAGCAGGAGAAGUCUACUACAACCCAGAAUGAAAAGCAAUAAAGACGAUCAGAAUCCUUUUCAUGUUGACAGUAUCAUUACUUUGCCGGCGUCUGAGUCUCCCCUCAUUACACCUGCUGCCUCCCCGCCAUGAAAGACCAGGACUGAGAUCAUCUAUCAGCCACCAGCCCCCGCAAAAGAGUCGCAGUAUGAGUGCUCCAUAUCCUCCUUUUCUUCUAUGUUUGCUACAGCUACUUUGUAAUGACAUCAGUCAUUUUACUCAAAAAUCCACGGCGAAAUGGAAAAAAAAUCAUUGUGCGACAAAAUUAACGAAAA